Molecule: ribosomal RNA, 520 nt
Filed under: uncultured Scutellospora
Lineage: Eukaryota; Fungi; Glomeromycota; Glomeromycetes; Diversisporales; Gigasporaceae
Description: SSU rRNA
Rfam family: Eukaryotic small subunit ribosomal RNA
Source: RNAcentral
AGCAGCCGCGGUAAUUCCAGCUCCAAUAGCGUAUAUUAAAGUUGUUGCAGUUAAAAAGCUCGUAGUUGAAUUUCGGAGUUCUACCGUCGGUCGGGCUACCAAGUCUGUACUGGUGUGUAGAAUUCCUACCUUCUGGGGAACUAUCAUGUUAUUAAUUUAGCGUGGUGGGAAACCAGGACCUUUACCUUGAAAAAAUUAGAGUGUUCAAAGCAGGCUUAUGUCUGAAUACAUUAGCAUGGAAUAAUAGAAUAGGACGGUGGUCCUGUUUUGUUGGUUUCUGAAUCACCGUAAUGAUUAAUAGGGAUAGUUGGGGGCAUUAGUAUUCAAUUGUCAGAGGUGAAAUUCUUGGAUUUAUUGAAGACUAACUUCUGCGAAAGCAUUUGCCAAGGAUGUUUUCAUUAAUCAAGAACGAAAGUUAGAGGUUCGAAGGCGGAUCAGAUACCGCCCUAGUUCUAACCGUAACGAUGCCAACUAGCGAUCAGCGGGGUUAAAUUUAUGACUCCGCUGGAAGCUUUCCGGG